Molecule: ribosomal RNA, 590 nt
Filed under: Planchonia stentae
Lineage: Eukaryota; Metazoa; Arthropoda; Insecta; Hemiptera; Asterolecaniidae
Description: partial 28S ribosomal RNA
Rfam family: Eukaryotic large subunit ribosomal RNA
Source: RNAcentral
GCGGACGUCGCAACCCGUUCGAUGUCGACCGAGGAGCUGUGUAAACGUUCGUUGCUCGCAGAAAGGUUAACGCUGGACUGUGUGCGAUGAGUUACGUAGUCUUCAUUCUGGUUGACACCGUCGGACGGUAGUCRUAUGUGGUAAUUGGCGUCGCUUCGCGCGGCGUCAACGCCCGUUAGCGACGAAUCUUCGGGCCUCUUUUCGACCCGUCUUGAAACACGGACCAAGGAGUCUAACGUGCGCGCGAGUCGCGGGGUAUCGAGUSGUGUGAAUUUAAAUCGACGACUCGUUACAAUACGAAACCCGUGUGUAUGUAAAUGCAAGGCGUAAUGAAAGUGAAACUUGGGAAGAUGGUGUUCGAGUUCACGAUUCUCGAUCGUAUGGUGUCGAGGCCGAACAUCCGCACUCCCAGGGCGUCCUAAUGGCACUUCAAGUAUGCGGACGGUCGUUUCGCGAUGGCCGUCGGUAUUUGAUGAGCUGGGGCGCACCUAUAGCGUGCACGUUGGUACCCGAAAGAUGGUGAACUAUGCCUGGCCAGGAUGAAGUCAGGGGAAACCCUGAUGGAGGUCCGCAGCGAUUCUGACGUGCAA